AGUGAACGCUGGCGGUAGGCCUAACACAUGCAAGUCGAACGGCAGCACAGUAAGAGCUUGCUCUUACGGGUGGCGAGUGGCGGACGGGUGAGGAAUACAUCGGAACCUACUUUUUCGUGGGGGAUAACGUAGGGAAACUUACGCUAAUACCGCAUACGACCUACGGGUGAAAGCAGGGGAUCUUCGGACCUUGUGCGAUUGAAUGAGCCGAUGUCGGAUUAGCUAGUUGGCGGGGUAAAGGCCCACCAAGGCGACGAUCCGUAGCUGGUCUGAGAGGAUGAUCAGCACACUGGAACUGAGACACGGUCCAGACUCCUACGGGAGGCAGCAGUGGGGAAUAUUGGACAAUGGGCGCAAGCCUGAUCCAGCCAUACCGCGUGGGUGAAGAAGGCCUUCGGGUUGUAAAGCCCUUUUGUUGGGAAAGAAAAGCAGCAGGUUAAUACCCCGCUGUUCUGACGGUACCCAAAGAAUAAGCACCGGCUAACUUCGUG
This 491-nucleotide ribosomal RNA is filed under the name uncultured bacterium. RNAcentral describes it as "partial 16S ribosomal RNA". It matches the Rfam family "Bacterial small subunit ribosomal RNA", at positions 29 to 507 of the family's 1533-position model. The record is from RNAcentral.